AGUGAACGCUGGCGGUAGGCCUAACACAUGCAAGUCGAACGGCAGCACAGUAAGAGCUUGCUCUUACGGGUGGCGAGUGGCGGGCGGGUGAGGAAUACAUCGGAAUCUACUUUUUCGUGGGGGAUAACGUAGGGGAACUUACGCUAAUACCGCAUACGACCUACGGGUGAAAGCAGGGGAUCUUCGGACCUUGCGCGAUUGAAUGAGCCGAUGUCGGAUUAGCUAGUUGGCGGGGUAAAGGCCCACCAAGGCGACGAUCCGUAGCUGGUCUGAGAGGAUGGUCAGCCACAUUGGAACUGGACCACGGUCCAGACUCCUACGGGAGGCAGCAGUGGGGAAUAUUGGACAAUGGGCGCAAGCCUGACCCAGCCAUACCGCGUGGGUGAAGAAGGCCUUCGGGUUGUAAAGCCCUUUUGUUGGGAAAGAAAAGCAGCAGGUUAAUACCCCGCUGUUCUGACGGUACCCAAAGAAUAAGCACCGGCUAACUUCGUG
This 492-nucleotide ribosomal RNA is filed under the name uncultured bacterium. RNAcentral describes it as "partial 16S ribosomal RNA". It matches the Rfam family "Bacterial small subunit ribosomal RNA", at positions 29 to 507 of the family's 1533-position model. The record is from RNAcentral.